UUUUNAGGGAGGAAUAAAUGACGUGUACCUGAGGAAUAAGCAUCGGCUAACUCCGUGCCAGCAGCCGCGGUAAGACGGAGGAUGCAAGUGUUAUCCGGAAUCACUGGGCGUAAAGCGUCUGUAGGUGGUCCAAUAAGUCAACUGUUAAAUCUUGAGGCUCAACCUCAAAAUCGCAGUCGAAACUAUUAGACUAGAGUAUAGUAGGGGUAAAGGGAAUUUCCAGUGGAGCGGUGAAAUGCGUAGAGAUUGGAAAGAACACCGAUGGCGAAGGCACUUUACUGGGCUAUUACUAACACUCAGAGACGAAAGCUAGGGUAGCAAAUGGGAUUAGAUACCCCAGUAGUCCUAGCCGUAAACAAUGGAUACUAGAUGUUGAACAGAUCGACCUGUGCAGUAUCAAAGCUAACGCGUNA
This 413-nucleotide ribosomal RNA is filed under the name uncultured bacterium. Its description in RNAcentral is "bacterial SSU rRNA". It matches the Rfam family "Bacterial small subunit ribosomal RNA", at positions 434 to 862 of the family's 1533-position model. The record is from RNAcentral.